CCUACGGGUGACAGCAGUGGGGAAUAUUGGGCAAUGGGCGCAAGCCUGACCCAGCAACGCCGCGUGAAGGAAGAAGGCUUUCGGGUUGUAAACUUCUUUUGACAGGGAAGAGUAGAAGACGGUACCUGUCGAAUAAGCCACGGCUAACUACGUGCCAGCAGCCGCGGUAAUACGUAGGUGGCUAGCGUUGUCCGGAUUUACUGGGUGUAAAGGGCGUGUAGCCGGGUUGACAAGUCAGAUGUGAAAUCCUGCGGCUUAACCGCAGAACUGCAUUUGAAACUGUUGAUCUUGAGUACUGGAGAGGCAGACGGAAUUCCUAGUGUAGCGGUGAAAUGCGUAGAUAUUGCGCAGAACUCCGAUUGCGAAGGCAGCAUACCGGCGGCGAUCUGACGCUGAGGCACGAAAGCGUGGGUAUCGAACAGGAUUAGAUACCCCUGUAGUC
This 442-nucleotide ribosomal RNA is filed under the name uncultured bacterium. RNAcentral's name for it is "partial 16S ribosomal RNA". It matches the Rfam family "Bacterial small subunit ribosomal RNA", at positions 338 to 795 of the family's 1533-position model. The record is from RNAcentral.